CAGCAGCCGCGGUAAUACGAAGGGUGCAAGCGUUAAUCGGAAUUACUGGGCGUAAAGGGCGCGUAGGCGGCGAUCAAAGUCAGGCGUGAAAUUCCUGGGCUCAACCUGGGGGCUGCGCUUGAUACUUGGUUGCUUGAGUGGGGAAGAGGGUCGUGGAAUUCCCAGUGUAGAGGUGAAAUUCGUAGAUAUUGGGAAGAACACCGGUGGCGAAGGCGGCGACCUGGUCCUUGACUGACGCUGAGGCGCGAAAGCGUGGGGAGCAAACAGGAUUAGAUACCCCCGUAGUCCCUGUCUCUUAUAA
Molecule: ribosomal RNA, 301 nt
Filed under: uncultured bacterium
Lineage: Bacteria
Description: partial 16S ribosomal RNA
Rfam family: Bacterial small subunit ribosomal RNA
Source: RNAcentral